Omnitrophica WOR_2 bacterium is the source of this 1107-nucleotide non-coding RNA. NCBI's taxonomy places the organism in Bacteria, Pseudomonadati, Candidatus Omnitrophota. The record is from Rfam.
UUGACGGAGAGUUUGAUCCUGGCUCAGAGCGAACGCUGGCGGCGUGGAUAAGGCAUGCAAGUCGCGCGAUCCCCGCAAGGGGAUAGCGGCUAACGGGUGCGUAACGCGUGGGGAACUUGUCCUGGAGACAGGGAUAGCACUGCGAAAGCGGUGGUAAUACCUGAUAAGCCCAGAGCCUCGCAUGGGGUGACGGGCAAAGAUGGCCUCGACCGCAAGGUUGCUAUCGCUUCAGGAGGGCCCCGCGUCCCAUCAGCUAGUUGGUAGGGUCACGGCCUACCAAGGCGUGGACGGGUAGCUGGCCUGAGAGGGUGGUCAGCCACACUGGGACUGAGACACUGCCCAGACUCCUACGGGAGGCUGCAGUCGAGAAUCUUUGGCAAUGGGCGAAAGCCUGACCAUGCGACGCCGCGUGCGGGAUGAAGGCUUUCGGGUCGUAAACCGCUGUUACGAGGGACGAAGUCCGGCCCGUCAAACAAACGGGCGGGAUUGACGGUACCUCGAGAGAAAGCCACGGCUAACUCCGUGCCAGCAGCCGCGGUAAUACGGAGGUGGCAAGCGUUGCUCGGAUUCAUUGGGUGUAAAGGGCAAGUAGGCGGCUUCGCAAGUCGGGUGUGAAAUCCCACGGCUUAACCGUGGAACUGCGCCCGAAACUGCGGGGCUUGAGGACGGGAGAGGCGAAUGGAAUUCCCGGUGUAAGGGUGAAAUCUGUAGAGAUCGGGAGGAACACCAGUGGCGAAGGCGAUUCGCUGGACCGUUUCUGACGCUGAGAGGCGAAAGCUAGGGGAGCAAACAGGAUUAGAUACCCUGGUAGUCCUAGCCGUAAACGAUGGGCACUAGGUGUUGGGUCUUUCGGGGCCCAGUGCCGUAGGUAACCCGUUAAGUGCCCCACCUGAGGAGUACGGCCGCAAGGUUGAAACUCAAAGGAAUUGACGGGGGCCAGCACAAGCGGUGGAACAUGUGGUUUAAUUCGAUGCUACGCGAAGAACCUUACCCAGGCUUGACAUGCAGGAAGUAGGAACCUGAAAGGGGGACGACUCGUAACCAGUCGAGAGCUUGCACAGGUGCUGCAUGGCUGUCGUCAGCUCGUGCCGUGAGGUGUUGGCUUAA